Molecule: ribosomal RNA, 292 nt
Filed under: Priestia flexa
Lineage: Bacteria; Bacillati; Bacillota; Bacilli; Caryophanales; Bacillaceae
Description: Bacillus flexus partial 16S ribosomal RNA
Rfam family: Bacterial small subunit ribosomal RNA
Source: RNAcentral
AAUAUUGGGGCGUAAGCGCGCGCAGGCGGUUUCUUAAGUCUGAUGUGAAAGCCCACGGCUCAACCGUGGAGGGUCAUUGGAAACUGGGGAACUUGAGUGCAGAAGAGAAAAGCGGAAUUCCACGUGUAGCGGUGAAAUGCGUAGAGAUGUGGAGGAACACCAGUGGCGAAGGCGGCUUUUUGGUCUGUAACUGACGCUGAGGCGCGAAAGCGUGGGGAGCAAACAGGAUUAGAUACCCUGGUAGUCCACGCCGUAAACGAUGAGUGCUAAGUGUUAGAGGGUUUCCGCCCUU